CAGCCGCCACGGGAACACGUAGGGUGCAAGCGUUAAUCGGAAUUACUGGGCGUAAAGCGUGCGCAGGCGGUUAUAUAAGUCAGAUGUGAAAUCCCCGGGCUCAACCUGGGAACUGCAUUUGAGACUGUAUGGCUAGAGUGUGUCAGAGGGGGGUAGAAUUCCACGUGUAGCAGUGAAAUGCGUAGAUAUGUGGAGGAAUACCGAUGGCGAAGGCAGCCCCCUGGGAUAACACUGACGCUCAUGCACGAAAGCGUGGGGAGCAAACAGGACUAGAUACCCCUGUAGUCCCUGUCUCUUAUAC
RNAcentral lists this ribosomal RNA (301 nucleotides) under uncultured bacterium. RNAcentral describes it as "partial 16S ribosomal RNA". It matches the Rfam family "Bacterial small subunit ribosomal RNA", at positions 509 to 807 of the family's 1533-position model. The record is from RNAcentral.